AUUGAACGCUGGCGGCAGGCCUAACACAUGCAAGUCGAACGGUAGCACAGAGAGCUUGCUCUCGGGUGACGAGUGGCGGACGGGUGAGUAACGUCUGGGAAACUGCCCGAUGGAGGGGGAUAACUACUGGAAACGGUAGCUAAUACCGCAUAACGUCGCAAGACCAAAGUGGGGGACCUUCGGGCCUCACACCAUCGGAUGUGCCCAGAUGGGAUUAGCUAGUAGGUGGGGUAAUGGCUCACCUAGGCGACGAUCCCUAGCUGGUCUGAGAGGAUGACCAGCCACACUGGGACUGAGACACGGUCCAGACUCCUACGGGAGGCAGCAGUGGGGAAUAUUGCACAAUGGGCGCAAGCCUGAUGCAGCCAUGCCGCGUGUAUGAAGAAGGCCUUCGGGUUGUAAAGUACUUUCAGCGGGGAGGAAGGCGGUGGAGUUAAUAACUUCUCCGAUUGACGUUACGCGCAGAAGAAGCACCGGCUAACUCCGUGCCAGCCGCCGCCGUAA
Molecule: ribosomal RNA, 504 nt
Filed under: uncultured bacterium
Lineage: Bacteria
Description: partial 16S ribosomal RNA
Rfam family: Bacterial small subunit ribosomal RNA
Source: RNAcentral